UUGGAGGGCAAGUCUGGUGCCAGCAGCCGCGGUAAUUCCAGCUCCAAUAGCGUAUAUUAAAGUUGCUGCAGUUAAAAAGCUCGUAGUUGAAUUUCGGGACCAAUAUGUCGGUCGUGCUUUUGUACGUACUGAUAUAAUUGGUUUCUCCCUUCUGAAGAACCUUGAUGUCAUUAAUUUGGUGUCUUGGGGAAUCAGGACUGUUACUUUGAAAAAAUUAGAGUGUUUAAAGCAGGCUCGCGCUUGAAUACAUUAGCAUGGAAUAAUGAAAUAGGACGUUUGAUUCUAUUUUGUUGGUUUCUAGGAUCGACGUAAUGAUUAAUAGGGAUAGUUGGGGGCAUUAGUAUUCAAUUGUCAGAGGUGAAAUUCUUGGAUUUAUUGAAGACNAACUACUGCGAAAGCAUUUGCCAAGGAUGUUUUCAUUAAUCAAGAACGAAAGUUAGGGGAUCGAAGACGAUCAGAUACCGUCGUAGUCUUAACCAUAAACUAUGCCGACUAGGGAUCGGAUGAUGUUAAUUUUAUAAUGACUCAUUCGGCGCCUUCGGGAAAC
This 547-nucleotide ribosomal RNA is filed under the name uncultured Glomus. RNAcentral's name for it is "SSU rRNA". It matches the Rfam family "Eukaryotic small subunit ribosomal RNA", at positions 548 to 1098 of the family's 1831-position model. Lineage: Eukaryota; Fungi; Glomeromycota; Glomeromycetes; Glomerales; Glomeraceae. The record is from RNAcentral.